RNAcentral lists this small nucleolar RNA (223 nucleotides) under Felis catus (domestic cat). Its description in RNAcentral is "Small nucleolar RNA U3 (ENSFCAG00000041063.1)". It matches the Rfam family "Small nucleolar RNA U3". From Rfam's summary of the family: Small nucleolar RNAs (snoRNAs) are involved in the processing and modification of rRNA in the nucleolus. There are two main classes of snoRNAs: the box C/D class, and the box H/ACA class. The record is from RNAcentral. Lineage: Eukaryota; Metazoa; Chordata; Mammalia; Carnivora; Felidae.
AAAAAUUUACUUUCAGGGAUCAUUUCUAUAGCGAUUUGCUAGCGAACUGCGUUUUUUUUUAAAGUGUUUGACUCGCUAUCACACGGAAGAGUGAGAGGUGUUCGCUUUUGAGCGUGAAGGAGGCCAGUGAGUGUUGUUUUGGGCCAACUGCUCACUGUUUAUCAUUUGAUGGACCCUCGUGUUCCUUAGGGGGCUGGAGGAAGCGGACACGUUUCUGAGUGUG